Molecule: ribosomal RNA, 248 nt
Filed under: uncultured Burkholderiaceae bacterium
Lineage: Bacteria; Pseudomonadati; Pseudomonadota; Betaproteobacteria; Burkholderiales; Burkholderiaceae
Description: partial 16S ribosomal RNA
Rfam family: Bacterial small subunit ribosomal RNA
Source: RNAcentral
CACGCCCUAAACGAUGUCAACUGGUUGUUGGGUCUUCAUUGACUUAGUAACGAAGCUAACGCGUGAAGUUGACCGCCUGGGGAGUACGGUCGCAAGAUUAAAACUCAAAUGAAUUGACGGGGACCCGCACAAGCGGUGGAUGAUGUGGAUUAAUUCGAUGCAACGCGAAAAACCUUACCUACCCUUGACAUGCCACUAACGAAGUAGAGAUACAUUAGGUGCUCGUAAGAGAAAGUGGACACAGGUGC